This 250-nucleotide unclassified non-coding RNA is filed under the name Hevea brasiliensis (rubber tree). The record is from RNAcentral. Lineage: Eukaryota; Viridiplantae; Streptophyta; Magnoliopsida; Malpighiales; Euphorbiaceae.
UUAAAUAAAAAAAAAAAAAGAGGAGAGGAAGUUUUUGAUUCGGUCAACACCAAAUUUGUCUUGGAAUAGGAAUUAGUGAGUUGAAGUUGGGCUUUUGUCCAAUUGCCAUAAAAAGAGACAAAUAGCAAUAAUUUAAAUUAGAGGGAGUUGUUAAGUGGAAGGCCAAAAGUUAAUAACAACAGUUUUUUAGGUCAUAAAAAAAAAGCGGCGUGAGUAAUGUUCAGUAAAUCACAUGGGUGUUUGCAGUGUG